Molecule: long non-coding RNA, 816 nt
Organism: Rhododendron vialii
Lineage: Eukaryota; Viridiplantae; Streptophyta; Magnoliopsida; Ericales; Ericaceae
Exons: 2
Source: RefSeq, a predicted model, not a curated record
AUUAGGUGUAGAUUUUUUAGAUGAUUGAACUUCUUGUUAUUUUUAAGGCUGCUUUAGUGCUAUUACAGCCAGUAGGUUCUAACACACUUUCCUAAUAUUAAUUUUGUUUUGGUGUUAAGAAUAUUUUUGUGGAUUUUAAUGUUACAUGGAUCCUUCUAAUAUCCAAGUAGUCUGUAUCGGACCCUCAACAUUCAAGGGUACGAGGUCCUUGUUCAACAUAUAUUGUCGGACAUUCACAUAGCAUGCAUCCCUGGUAAUUCGAAUUUAUCAAGAACUGUGCUUUUUUUCUUGGUUAAUGUGUCCGACAUAUCCCUGUCCAUGUUUUUUCUCUGUGCUUAAUUUUGUUAUCUUUCCAAUUGUACAAUCUGAUUGUAAAUGUCAUAACUUAUUGGGAUUGGUGGUUAAAAUUAUGUUUUCUUUGAUAGGGUUUGCAAGGAUCGGGGUUGAAGUGAAGAGGUGAAGGAAUACUCGAAGUGUCUUGGAACCUCUAACAGGCAAUGAAGAACAUGGUUUUGAUAUAGCAAUAGUUUUUCUAAUUUUAUUCCGCAUCACUUUUCUUGCUUUUGUUUUGUAAGUAAUUGGUCUAUCAGUGGGGGUUUUUUUUUGGUACACUAGAAAAUGAAAAAACAACUAAACUCUCUCGAAAGUCACUCCUCUCAUGUCCGCGUUUAGGAGUGGGAUUAAGUCGUCGGUCGGGAUGAUGUGCGACACCAUUCUAUCUUCUUGAUCAACUCCUAUGUUAGCAAACAUAUCCGCGACUUUUUUGGUCUAUCAGUGGUUGCCACUAUUAAAAAGUGGGAAUUCGAUUUGAAAUUC